GGGCCAAUGUAAAGUUAGACUUAACUAUUAUAAUUUAAAAUAAGGUAAAUAAGGGUUAAAAGAUGUUAAAACACAAUAAAUAACUACAUAAACGAACGGAACUUAGUACAUGUCAGAAAUUGUAACGUACUUAAGCUGUGUAAAAAAUUGGUUGGUAACAAAUCUUGGGUGUUCAGACCUGAUUUCCACCAAUUACCUACUUUAGACACCAGUUGGUUCUCUGAAACAUAACAGUGCAACAUGGUUGAUGCAGAUGAUAACUAGAUUUUUUUAUGUACUAUAUAUAAAAGCUCAUCCUCUCUGUGGCCCAUUAAUGCUUUUUCACUAUUUCAAAUACUAUCUCCAUUUUUUCCAGUAAGUUCACUCACACUGGUCCUUUUUUAAGUUUCAAGAUAAUGGACAGAAAAAAUGAUGCAUUGUAAUGCUUCUUUGGACCACUGGAUCAGCUGACAUCUUACAUCCAAUGAUAAUCACGGGUAGACAGAUUAUUGAUUCCAGCAGAUCAUCAGGCUGAUAUUUGGCUGAUAAUAUUCAUUUAUUUUAUUGAGCUACUCUGGCUUUGUUGCUGGUGUUUCUCCCCCUCUGGGUCUGUUUUUAUUCUCCACCUGUCCUCACAGAUAUUUCACCCACUGCACCAUGACUGUCUAGAUAUCAGAUGACUGUGUGACAUAAUCUACAGUUACAUGAUACUUGUUAACUGUUAACUUAUGUGCGUGAUGUUGCAAGUUUCAGUUUUGAUUAACCAUUUGCAUUUUGAGAAAGUUUUGUGUUUGAGUUUGUAAAUUUUUUCACGGAAAGUUUCUCAUUUAUACUGUCAGUGUCGAACAUUCCCAAUUAUUGGUUAUUGGUCUUAUGAGGUGCUCAUAAUCUGUCGAUUUCAGCCCUAAAAACUAACCCACAAAUAAACUUAAUUUUGCAACCAGAAUGCAUUUAGAGCAUAACUGGAAAAAGCUAAUUCAGGCAACCUCAAAGCAAGUUGACUAGAGUGCUUAAGCGGUGACUCAAACUUCUGCGACCUCUAGAAACACCUUGAGAACGGCGCCUCUCUCUGCUGAAGCAGCACUUAUCCUGAUAGUUACCAGAGGUGGGAGGUUGAGGGUCUAUUUUGACGUUGAAUGCUAAAACCGACCCUUUUAAAGAAUUGAUUCCGUCGUGUCAAAAAGUUUGAGUAUUCUGCUAAAUUGUGCUCGAACUCGUUUUUUGAAUGUGACACUCGGCCUCUCAGAGACGGCUCAGAGGCGCUGCAUUGAUUCUGGACAGCUACCAUGUGAGAGUGACAAGGCAGUUUGAAGGCCAGUCUGUUGACUCGCUCUUUGUGAAGCAGCUGCUGGAGGAGAGGCAGGCAGUUAUUCAGGGUUAAUGGUUGUCCAUGCCCUCUCUCUGGUUAGACAUUCACAUGGCAACACCUCAACUGUCCACGGUUCAAACAGUAGUGCAGUGUAUUAGUCACUCAGCGGUGGCCUGUUGUCCUCUCAUAGUGAAGAUUCCUGACUCUCAGAAGGAGCAGUUAAACUACUGCCGUGCCUCUGUCGCUGUGGUGCAGAUUCCUGCAGCCAUAAAGUAGGUAAGUAGAGGAUUCAAUAUGGAUUACAACAGUUUAACAUUUGGAGACGUCAAGAGAAGAUGAAGUCGAUACCUUAGCUCGAGUGGAUGCAUCGUGUUUAGGGGGUUAUUUCAGAGUCCUGUAAGGAUCCGGCCUGGCCUGCUGCCCGAGCAGGAGAGCAGUAAUAAACGAUACACAAAAGACUGAAGCGAAGACGUGGUGUCUUUAUCUUAUUCUAUUACAACUACACACAGUAAGAGACACAUACACAGCAGAGUUAGACGGGGGACUGUGUGCUCUUUCGCCUCAGGCCUUGUCCUUUCACAGCUCUGCCGCCUCCUCAUUUGUCAGCCAGCAUUCAAGAAGGAAAACAAGUUAGCUCUUCCCAACAUAUUUAUUCAACUCCUCAUCUGUUUAUAUGCUGGAUGGAGAAGAAAAGCCUGAUGCAGCAUUGACUGAUGGGAAAAUACUUAAAGUUUAUAAUUGCAGGUAGUUUUUGGAACAUUUUCCACCAGUUUGUAGCUUUGAAUAUUAGAUGCAUUAAAACUGAUUUGCACUCUCCUUCUCUCUUUUUUUUUUUUUUUUGACUUCCAACCAAGAUUCCUGUCUUCGCAGAAAGCAAAUGGACAAACGCCAGAUGUGCAUGUCAGAAAGAAUUGGCUGAACCAAAACAUGAUUGUGUUCAGCGUUAUGCGUGAACGUGCUAAAAUGAGAACAGGCUCAUAUUUCUGUGAACUAAACAGCUCAAUUUGCACAAAGAGUUAGUGUGGUUCACUUAUGAGACAAUGAACAAGCGUGCACAUUCUGCAUGGAUCAGGGAGGUGUCGAAACUUAUCAGGCAAUGUGUUUUUCUGUGUUCGGCACGGCUCAUACCGUCAGCAGUUUAGAUGUAGUUAGUGGUGUUGAUGAAGUCAGCUCUUUUGAACAUUUGGAGGAGUUUUAUGGACGAAUCAGGACAGAUUCCAGCGGGCAAAAGCCUCUACAGUAUUAGAGAGAUGUCGAUUUUUUUUAUUAUGUAUUUGUGUGCAGAGUAAGAUCAGCCAACAAAUUUAAGUUAUGUUUGUUUUUAAGUUUUUAAAGCUGCAUAUUUUUCCCUCUGAUUGUUAAAACACUCAAAUGUGAAUUUCUUUGCUUUUAAACUGAAGGUCCGUCUUGCAGAAUGUAGUAAUUUAUCAAUGAAUGAAGGUAAAGGGCUGAAGCACAGGAGGUUCGGCUGGUAAAUAAGGCUACGUUCAUACUGCAGGUUAUGAUGCACAAUUCGGAUUUUUUGUUAAAUCUGAUCUUUUUGUGCGGUCGUUCACAUUACAACAACAGCAUGCGGCAUUUAAUGUGAACAGAAUGCAUCCGUGAAGUGACCCGCAUGCGUACAAAGCACAAAUUGCUUUCUGCGCCUGUUUGUGUUGUCGAACAACGGUGAUGUUUGUCACAUACUGAUGACGUAUACUGUAGGUCGGAUUAACGCGACCUGAGCGUCCACACUGCAGUCACAUCGGAUACAUAUCCGAUUUAUAUCCACAUACAAAAGAGGCCUGGGUCGGAUUUGAAAAAAUAAGAAUUGCACUGUUUACAUGUACAUGAAAAAAAUCAGAUAUGGUUAAAAAAUCAGAAUUGACCUGCAGUGCUGGAUGUUUCUGGAUGAUCUACAUGUUCUAACACACAAACAUACCUCUGUAAAUGUCUUUUAACAGCAGGUACUGUCAGACAUUUGGAUAAAUAAACCUCAGUGUUGAUUGUUGUCACAUGGCUGCAAAAGAAAGCUUUAAUUACUUCAUGUUUUAGCAUUUACAUCUUUAAGUCCUGGAUUUAACAUCUCAAGAACAUUGUCUGCAGUACAUUUCUUUUUAGAAAGAUGCAACCAUAAUAGUUGUUCAUCUUGCUGUGUUACUUGUGGAGUGGUGUUCAAUAGUUUCCUUAUCUUAAAAACCUCUUAACUCAUGACAGUGUGACACAACUGGAUGGAUAAACCUUUAUCAAAGUGUUUGUGGUAUCCGUUGCAUUCUCUGACAUGGAGUGACAAAGGAUCUGUGCAUCAUUGGUUUAGCUUAAUCUUGUCUUCACAUUAGUUAAUAAUCUUGAUUUGAAGUCAGACUUGACUCGUGUUAACUGAAGGCUGUCAGGCGUGUCGGUCACGCUGAUUAUCCUUUAAAGAGCUCCAGCCUGAGCCUGCCGUGUUUACUGAUCUGCCCAACCCCCAACAUUGCCACUAAUUCCUGAGUCCGUUAUAAUCAAAUCAAGUCCUUAGCACUAUAAGCUGACCUCGAGUCUGGCUUGUUUAUUUCAAAAGAUUUAGUGAAUAACGUUUAAGACCUUCCCAGGAAAAGCCAUUAAGGUGCCAAGGAUGUGACCAUCAAACAAAAAUGGUACUCUGUCAUCUCUGGAGCCUGAUGAGGGAAUAAAGUAAAUAUGUAGGAGGCGGAAAUCUCAGAGUCAGACUUCGUGUUUUCCUCAUGUAGUAGUUUACCCCUGAGCUCAUAAAGUAUGGCAGUCUGCUUACAGAUGACUGUUGAGAACACUGCCCCGUUUUCAAUAACUCUGGGUUGACUCAUCAGGUCGAUUGCCAACUGUGUGGGACUAAUGAGUGUAAUCUCCUCUGUCAGGUUAAGUAAAGCCAGAUAACCCAAAGAAAACAGUUUCUGAGGUCACAGAAGGGUUUAAUUUAUGCGAACAUCUUUGCUUGUCUUGAUCUGCACUUAAAAACAAAACAUUUUCUUGCUUGUGACUUCUGGGUUAACCGCCAUUAAGUCAACUAAAGGGUUCAGUUUUGCUAUCCUUGCUAGCUCGCACCAGAAUUCCUCAUAGACUGAACUUAAAACUGAUAUUUUUAUAUUUUAUAUGUCAGUACUAUGGCUGACAAAAGUAUGAUCACCAAAUGUACAAUGCUGCUGACUCCUUGUCUGUGCCUUUGUGAGGGAUGUGUCUUCUUAAACUCUUGAACCUUUGUCUCUUUUGUGUUGAGAUGUCAGACUCUUUCCACUGAACAGAGCUCUGGUCUCCAUAUUUUGACAGCAAAGUUAGACGGAAAGUCAAACCCAGUCAUUUAGUCUGCAACAUCUUUGCAGCUAUUCCUAAUUUAUUAACACCAGCUCGGAGUAUCUGGCUGUGGAAGGGUUUGUAGUUGUCAACACAAAAUUCAACAAGAAGCACUUUGCGCUCCUUCUUCUCCUCUGGCACUUGUGCUUUUGAAUAAUUCAGUGUGUUGGUUAAUGGUGAAGUUCUCUUCACUUUCUCUCUUGUUGGCUCUUACCAGACUUUGAACCAUGGACUGAAAAUACUUUUAAUUCAAGUCAGGAGGAUGCUGAAACUGGGGGAGUCUUUUUAGUUAACAGAUUGAGCCCAUGUGACAUCUGCAGCUCAUUCAAAGUGAAACACUUUUCUGUUGGUCAUGUCCUGAUUUCUUGCAAGAUUUAUUUAUUUAAGAAUAAGUAAUGGCCAAAUAACCAAGAAGUUGUUUUUCCAGCUAUAAACAAUUUCUGUUUAAGUUCUGAACCAUGACUGUUCACACUUUAUUAUCAUGUUAUAUAUAUAUAUUAUGUUUGUAGGGCAGGUGCCCCCUCUUACAGUACACAUUUCACUAGUCAUAGGAUUGAUU
Non-coding RNA from Xyrichtys novacula (pearly razorfish), 5132 nucleotides. NCBI's taxonomy places the organism in Eukaryota, Metazoa, Chordata, Actinopteri, Labriformes, Labridae. The record is from the annotation of a GenBank genome assembly.